UUGCCACACACUUUGUUGUGUGUGGUACUAAUCGCUGGGUUCGGGUCYGUCUCAGUUUAUUUAAUUAGACUGACUAUGGGACUGGGCUCGGUCAGAGUAUCAUGGGGUAGUGCCCUCGAUGCACGACUUGUAAAAUUGUACGGCAUUGGGUGUUUGCAUUAUACUUAUGGGCGCAUUUGCGAAAAUCAUUAUUAG
Molecule: unclassified non-coding RNA, 195 nt
Filed under: Lipothrix lubbocki
Lineage: Eukaryota; Metazoa; Arthropoda; Collembola; Symphypleona; Sminthuridae
Description: sequence contains ITS2
Source: RNAcentral